Molecule: transfer RNA, 72 nt
Filed under: Diaphorina citri (Asian citrus psyllid)
Lineage: Eukaryota; Metazoa; Arthropoda; Insecta; Hemiptera; Psyllidae
Rfam family: tRNA
About the family: Transfer RNA (tRNA) molecules are approximately 80 nucleotides in length. Their secondary structure includes four short double-helical elements and three loops (D, anti-codon, and T loops). Further hydrogen bonds mediate the characteristic L-shaped molecular structure. tRNAs have two regions of fundamental functional importance: the anti-codon, which is responsible for specific mRNA codon recognition, and the 3' end, to which the tRNAs corresponding amino acid is attached (by aminoacyl-tRNA synthetases). tRNAs cope with the degeneracy of the genetic code in two manners: having more than one tRNA (with a specific anti-codon) for a particular amino acid; and 'wobble' base-pairing, i.e. permitting non-standard base-pairing at the 3rd anti-codon position.
Source: Rfam by way of RNAcentral
GCUCCCAUGGCAUAGUGGUCACUGCGUUCACCUUGCCCGCGGGAAACUCGGGUUCAAUUCCCGGUGGGUUCA